Cucurbita pepo subsp. pepo (vegetable marrow) is the source of this 465-nucleotide non-coding RNA. Lineage: Eukaryota; Viridiplantae; Streptophyta; Magnoliopsida; Cucurbitales; Cucurbitaceae. The record is from RefSeq and is a predicted model, not a curated record.
CUCUAAAAUCUGGCAUUGAAAAUAUGUUGAUGCAUUAUGUACCAGAGGUGAAGGGCGUGGAACAAGAAUUUGACGUCGAGGAAGAGGAUGUAAAGUCAACCAGCCAGAUGGAGUAAAAGAUGAGUUGGUCUAUUUAUUCUAUGUUAUGUUGAGCCACAACACUGAUCUUGAGGGUGAGCCCUUACGAGUUGGUUGUUUCAUUCUUUGUUAGAUUGAACUGCAACACUGAUCUUGAGGGGUGACCAUACGGGUACUUGUUAUUAUGCAGAGAAUAAAAAGGGCGUCAUGGUGGAAUUAUUUCAUGGUUUAUAGAGUAGAGUACCAUAUACUUUUGUUCCUUGCUAAGAAAAGAAGUCUGUGGAACUGGGAUUCCAUGGACUUACCAUAUUUUGGACAUGACGAACAUAUAUGGUAAACAUAAGAGAGAUUUGAUUGUUCAUUCAAUAAUAACAUUUUUGUUCUAUA